AUUGAACGCUGGCGGCAGGCCUAACACAUGCAAGUCGAGCGGAUGAAGGGAGCUUGCUCCUGGAUUCAGCGGCGGACGGGUGAGUAAUGCCUAGGAAUCUGCCUGGUAGUGGGGGAUAACGUCCGGAAACGGGCGCUAAUACCGCAUACGUCCUGAGGGAGAAAGUGGGGGAUCUUCGGACCUCACGCUAUCAGAUGAGCUUAGGUCGGAUUAGCUAGUUGGUGGGGUAAAGGCCUACCAAGGCGACGAUCCGUAACUGGUCUGAGAGGAUGAUCAGUCACACUGGAACGUGGACACGGUCCAGACUCCUACGGGAGGCAGCAGUGGGGAAUAUUGGACAAUGGGCGAAAGCCUGAUCCAGCCAUGCCGCGUGUGUGAAGAAGGUCUUCGGAUUGUAAAGCACGUUAAGUUGGGAGGAAGGGCAGUAAGUUAAUACCUUGCUGUUUUGACGUUACCAACAGAAUAAGCACCGGCUAACUUCGUG
Molecule: ribosomal RNA, 484 nt
Filed under: uncultured bacterium
Lineage: Bacteria
Description: partial 16S ribosomal RNA
Rfam family: Bacterial small subunit ribosomal RNA
Source: RNAcentral